Molecule: transfer RNA, 83 nt
Filed under: Fusarium equiseti
Lineage: Eukaryota; Fungi; Ascomycota; Sordariomycetes; Hypocreales; Nectriaceae
Also listed under: 1 other name
Description: tRNA-Pro
Rfam family: tRNA
About the family: Transfer RNA (tRNA) molecules are approximately 80 nucleotides in length. Their secondary structure includes four short double-helical elements and three loops (D, anti-codon, and T loops).
Source: RNAcentral
GGCUCAAUGGUCUAGCGGUAUGAUUCCUGCUUUGGGUUCGCUCAGCUUGCAGGAGGUCCCGGGUUCAAUCCCCGGUUGAGCCC